GCGGCGGUGGCGGAAUUGGUAGACGCGCCAGCUUGAGGGGCUGGUGGGCUUCGGCCCGUGGAAGUUCGAGUCUUCUUCGCCGCACCA
Molecule: transfer RNA, 87 nt
Filed under: bacterium
Lineage: Bacteria
Also listed under: 5 other names
Description: tRNA-Leu
Rfam family: tRNA
About the family: Transfer RNA (tRNA) molecules are approximately 80 nucleotides in length. Their secondary structure includes four short double-helical elements and three loops (D, anti-codon, and T loops). Further hydrogen bonds mediate the characteristic L-shaped molecular structure. tRNAs have two regions of fundamental functional importance: the anti-codon, which is responsible for specific mRNA codon recognition, and the 3' end, to which the tRNAs corresponding amino acid is attached (by aminoacyl-tRNA synthetases). tRNAs cope with the degeneracy of the genetic code in two manners: having more than one tRNA (with a specific anti-codon) for a particular amino acid; and 'wobble' base-pairing, i.e. permitting non-standard base-pairing at the 3rd anti-codon position.
Source: RNAcentral